This 660-nucleotide ribosomal RNA is filed under the name uncultured bacterium. RNAcentral describes it as "bacterial SSU rRNA". It matches the Rfam family "Bacterial small subunit ribosomal RNA", at positions 202 to 849 of the family's 1533-position model. The record is from RNAcentral.
AAAGAUGGCUUUGGCUAUCACUCUGGGAUGGACCUGCGGUGCAUUAGCUAGUUGGUAAGGUAACGGCUUACCAAGGCGAUGAUGCAUAGCCGAGUUGAGAGACUGAUCGGCCACAAUGGAACUGAGACACGGUCCAUACUCCUACGGGAGGCAGCAGUAGGGAAUCUUCCACAAUGGGCGCAAGCCUGAUGGAGCAACACCGCGUGAGUGAAGAAGGGUUUCGGCUCGUAAAGCUCUGUUGUUGGAGAAGAACGUGCGUGAGAGUAACUGUUCACGCAGUGACGGUAUCCAACCAGAAAGUCACGGCUAACUACGUGCCAGCAGCCGCGGUAAUACGUAGGUGGCAAGCGUUAUCCGGAUUUAUUGGGCGUAAAGCGAGCGCAGGCGGUUGCUUAGGUCUGAUGUGAAAGCCUUCGGCUUAACCGAAGAAGUGCAUCGGAAACCGGGCGACUUGAGUGCAGAAGAGGACAGUGGAACUCCAUGUGUAGCGGUGGAAUGCGUAGAUAUAUGGAAGAACACCAGUGGCGAAGGCGGCUGUCUGGUCUGCAACUGACGCUGAGGCUCGAAAGCAUGGGUAGCGAACAGGAUUAGAUACCCUGGUAGUCCAUGCCGUAAACGAUGAGUGCUAGGUGUUGGAGGGUUUCCGCCCUUCAGUGCCGG